CCAAGGGUGGGGGGUGUCAAAGAUGGCUGAUGCAACUUCUUCAAAAAAUGCUGCUUGGGAUGAAAAUAACUCACUCGGUGGAGAUGUGGGAGGUUCUGAUAGCAGCAAUUGGAAUAAACAGGCCCAAAGUGAGCCACCUGAAUCUCAAGGGUGGGGGGUGUCAAAGAUGGCUGAUACAACAUUUUCAAAAACAGCUGCUUGGGGUGAAAAUAACUCACUCGAUGGAGAUGUGGGAGGUUCUGAUAGCAGCAAUUGGAAUAAACAAGCCCUUAGUGAGCCACCUGAAUCUCAAGAGUGGGGAAUGUCAAAGAUGGGUGAUGCAAAUUUUUCAAAAACUGCUGCCUGGGUUGAUAAGAACAAGUUUGGUGGAGUUGCAGGAGGUUCUGAUAGCAGCAAAUGGAAAAAACAAUCUAAAAGUGAGCCACCGGAAUCUCAAGGGUGGGAGGUGUCAAACAUGAAUGGUGCAACUUCUUCAAAAACUGCUACUUGGGGUGAAAAGAACUUUCUCAGUGGAAGUGUGGGAGGUUCUUAUAGUAGCAAUUGGAAUAAAAACUCCCAAAGUCAACCAUCUGAAUCUCAAGGGUGGGGAGUGUCAAACAAAGGCGACGUAGCUUCUUCAAAAACUGUUGUUUGGGGUGAAAAGAACUCGCUUGGUGGAGGUUCUGAUAGUAGCAAUUGGAAUAAAAACUCCCAAAGUCAACCAUCUGAAUCUCAAGGGUGGGGAGUGUCAAACAAAGGCGAUGCAACUUCUUCAAAAACUGUUGCUUGGGGUGAAAAGAACUCGCUUGGCGGAGGUUCUGAUAACAGAAAUUGGAAUAAACACUCCCAAAGUGAGCCAUCUGAAUCCCAACGGCGGGGGUUGUCAAACAAAGGUGAUGCAACUUCAAAAAUUGCUACUUGGGGUGAAAAGAACUUGCAUGGUGAAGGUUCUGAUGGCAGAAAUUGGAAUAAACACUCCCAAAGUGAGCUACCUGAAUCUCAACGGUGGGGGUUGUCAAACAAACGUGAUGCAACUUCUCCAAAAAUUACUACUUGGGGUGAAAAGAACUCGCUUGGUGAAGGUCCUGAUAGCAGCAAUUGGAAUAAACAGUCUCAAAGUCAACCACCUGAAUCUCAAGGGUGGGUGGUGUCAAAGAUGGGUAAUGAAACUUCUUCAAAAACUGCUUCUUGGGGUGAAAAGAACUCGCUUGGUGGAGGUGUGGGAGAUUCUGAUAGCAGCAAUUGGAAUAAACACUCCCAAAGUGAGCCAUCUGAAUCUCAAGGGUGGGGUGUGCCAAAGAUGAGUAUUGCAACUUCUUCAAAAACUGCUGCUUGGGGUGAAAAGAACUCCCAAAGUCAACCACCUGAAUCUCAAGAGUGGGGUGUGUCAAAGAUGGGUAAUGAAACUUCUUCAAAAACUGCUUCUUGGGGUGAAAAGAACUUGCUUGGUGGAAGUGUGAGAGAUUCUGAUAGCAGUAAUUGGAAUAAACACUCCCAAAGUGAGCCAUCUGA
Molecule: long non-coding RNA, 1491 nt
Filed under: Zostera marina
Lineage: Eukaryota; Viridiplantae; Streptophyta; Magnoliopsida; Alismatales; Zosteraceae
Description: long non-coding RNA (ZMAR_LNC005524)
Source: RNAcentral